GCCCGGAGACUGGGUGGGGCUCAGGCUGCGGACCCCGGCUUGGGCUGGGGAGUGGCCCAGGCCGGAUCCCGGAGGGCGGCCCGCCUCGCCAAUCAAGCAUCCCUGGAAGGUCGGAGGGCGCGGGGAAUCAGAGGGAGCGCCCGAGUCGCUGUGCGCAGUUUGGGCGCUCGCGUAGGGUGCCGGGCUGGUCAAGUUUGGGCAGCCUGAGAUAACAAGUACCGAGCGUCCAAAACUUUGUUGGGGUCCACCGACCGAGCCUGUGGCCUGUUGUUUCCCUCUCUUCUACCGUCACAACACCCCGCCUUUCCCGGCUCAGGGAGUAGGCACGGGAUUUGGGGGUCGGUGUCAAGUCGAAUUACAGAAGCGGGAAGAAAAUGUUCACUUUCCGAAAAUGUUCUGUCCAGUGGACCCAGCAGAGGGGAAGAGGAGCCCACGGGAAAGCGGUGCAGGCAAGGUUGAGGAUAAAGGCUGCUCCAAGUGUGACAGCUUCCUCGGUGAGAUGGAAGACAGAAUUGACAAGGCAAAUUUCAUGGACCAGGUAUCUGUGCUAGUCCGACAAGCCUGAUGAAACAGUUCCCCGUAUGGACUCAUCUGGGUACCUGUGGAAAUAUAAUCACAGUCAGGUGAGUUUGUUAUUCCAUCUCUCAUCGGUAGCGUAGAUUUAUCUUUUAAGAGUCAGAAUUUUGAGGGUUGCCUGGGUGGCUCAGUCACUUAAGUGUCCAACUCUCGGUUUCAGCUCAGGUCCUAAUCACAUGGUUAGUAAGUUCAAGUCCCACGUAUUCAAGAUUCAAGAUUCUCUCUCUCCUCCACUCUCUCUUUUCCCCUUCUGUGCACACUCUCUCUUUCCCUCUCAAAAUAAAUAAAUAAACUUUAAAAAGCGAAAGAAUCA
RNAcentral lists this long non-coding RNA (889 nucleotides) under Felis catus (domestic cat). RNAcentral describes it as "lncRNA (ENSFCAG00000050740.1)". The record is from RNAcentral. Lineage: Eukaryota; Metazoa; Chordata; Mammalia; Carnivora; Felidae.